UACGUAGGGUGCAAGCGUUGUCCGGAAUUAUUGGGCGUAAAGAGCUCGUAGGCGGUCUGUCACGUCGGAUGUGAAAAUCCAGGGCUUAACCCUGGACCUGCAUUCGAUACGGGCAGACUAGAGUUCGGUAGGGGAGACUGGAAUUCCUGGUGUAGCGGUGAAAUGCGCAGAUAUCAGGAGGAACACCGAUGGCGAAGGCAGGUCUCUGGGCAUUAACUGACGCUGAGGAGCGAAAGCAUGGGGAGCGAACAGG
This 253-nucleotide ribosomal RNA is filed under the name uncultured bacterium. RNAcentral describes it as "partial 16S ribosomal RNA". It matches the Rfam family "Bacterial small subunit ribosomal RNA", at positions 524 to 776 of the family's 1533-position model. The record is from RNAcentral.